GAUGAACGCUGGCGGCGUGCUUAAUACAUGCAAGUCGAGCGAACAAAUGCGGAGCUUGCUCCUCUGUCUUUAGCGGCGGACGGGUGAGUAACAAGUGGUUAGUCACCUUCUCCCACUUGGUUAACUACGGCAAACCGGAGCUACUACCGGGUGAUAUAUUGAACCUCUUGCUUCAAUAGUGAAGGACGGUUUUUCUGUCGGUUGUAGAUGGAUCCGCGCCGCAUUAGCUAGUUGGUAGGGUAACGGCUUACCAAGGCAACGAUGCGUAGCCGACCUGAGAGGGUGAUCGGCGACACUAGAACUGAGACGCGGUCCAGACUACUACGGGAGGCAGCAGUAGUGAAGCUUCCGCAAUGGGCGACAGCAUGAUGGAGCAACGCCGCGGGAGUGGUGAAGGUCUUCGUAUCGUAAAGAUCUGCUAUUAGGGAUGAACAAAUGUGGAAGUAACUAUGCACGUCUUGACGGUAGCUAGUCAGAAAGCGACGGCUAACUACGUG
RNAcentral lists this ribosomal RNA (497 nucleotides) under uncultured bacterium. RNAcentral's name for it is "partial 16S ribosomal RNA". It matches the Rfam family "Bacterial small subunit ribosomal RNA", at positions 28 to 507 of the family's 1533-position model. The record is from RNAcentral.